CGGAGGAAAAGAAACCAACAGGGAUUGCCCUAGUAACGGCGAGUGAAGCGGCAACAGCUCAAAUUUGAAAUCUGGCGCAAGCCCGAGUUGUAAUUUGUAGAGGAUGCUUCUAGGUAGCGACCGGUCUAAGUUCCUUGGAACAGGACGUCAUAGAGGGUGAGAAUCCCGUAUGUGACCGGCCCGCACCUUCUACGUAGCUCCUUCGAAGAGUCGAGUUGUUUGGGAAUGCAGCUCUAAAUGGGAGGUAAAUUUCUUCUAAAGCUAAAUACCGGCCAGAGACCGAUAGCGCACAAGUAGAGUGAUCGAAAGAUGAAAAGCACUUUGGAAAGAGAGUUAAAAAGCACGUGAAAUUGUUGAAAGGGAAGCGCUUACAACCAGACUUCUGGGCGGUGUUCCGCCGGUCUUCUGACCGGUCUACUCGCCGUCCCGAGGCCAACAUCAUCUGGGACCGCUGGAUAAGACCUCAGGAAUGUAGCUCCCCUCGGGGAGUGUUAUAGCCUGUGGUGAUGCAGCGCGUCUCGGGUGAGGUCCGCGCUUCGGCAAGGAUGUUGGCGUAAUGGUUGUCAGCGGCCCGUCUUGAAACACGGACCAAGGAGUCUAACAUCUAUGCGAGUGUUCGGGUGUCAAACCCCUACGCGUAAUGAAAGUGAACGGAGGUGGGAAGGGUAACCUGCACCAUCGACCGAUCCUGAUGUCCUCGGAUGGAUUUGAGUAAGAGCAUAGCUGUUGGGACCCGAAAGAUGGUGAACUAUGCCUGAAUAGGGUGAAGCCAGAGGAAACUCUGGUGGAGGCUCGCAGCGGUUCUGACGUGCAAAUCGAUCGUCAAAUUUGGGUAUAGGGGCGAA
This 845-nucleotide ribosomal RNA is filed under the name Ramularia bellunensis. Its description in RNAcentral is "eukaryotic LSU rRNA". It matches the Rfam family "Eukaryotic large subunit ribosomal RNA", at positions 51 to 927 of the family's 3401-position model. The record is from RNAcentral. Lineage: Eukaryota; Fungi; Ascomycota; Dothideomycetes; Mycosphaerellales; Mycosphaerellaceae.